GUUGUUGUAGUAUAGUGGUAAAUAUUCUCGCCUGUCAUAUGGGUGACCCAUGUUCGACCCCGGCAACGACG
RNAcentral lists this transfer RNA (71 nucleotides) under Nicotiana sylvestris (wood tobacco). It matches the Rfam family "tRNA". Rfam says of the family: Transfer RNA (tRNA) molecules are approximately 80 nucleotides in length. Their secondary structure includes four short double-helical elements and three loops (D, anti-codon, and T loops). Further hydrogen bonds mediate the characteristic L-shaped molecular structure. tRNAs have two regions of fundamental functional importance: the anti-codon, which is responsible for specific mRNA codon recognition, and the 3' end, to which the tRNAs corresponding amino acid is attached (by aminoacyl-tRNA synthetases). tRNAs cope with the degeneracy of the genetic code in two manners: having more than one tRNA (with a specific anti-codon) for a particular amino acid; and 'wobble' base-pairing, i.e. permitting non-standard base-pairing at the 3rd anti-codon position. The record is from Rfam by way of RNAcentral. Lineage: Eukaryota; Viridiplantae; Streptophyta; Magnoliopsida; Solanales; Solanaceae.